GGGCCUGUAGUUCAGUUGGAAGAAUGCCUCGUUUGCAACGAGGAGGUCAGCGGUUCGAACCCGCUCGGGUCCACCU
This 76-nucleotide transfer RNA is filed under the name Candidatus Woesebacteria bacterium RBG_19FT_COMBO_42_9. RNAcentral's name for it is "tRNA-Ala". It matches the Rfam family "tRNA". Rfam says of the family: Transfer RNA (tRNA) molecules are approximately 80 nucleotides in length. Their secondary structure includes four short double-helical elements and three loops (D, anti-codon, and T loops). The record is from RNAcentral. Lineage: Bacteria; Candidatus Woeseibacteriota. RNAcentral also lists the same sequence under 4 other names.